GAUGAACGCUGGCGGCGUGCUUAACACAUGCAAGUCGAACGGAAAGGCCCAAGCUUGCUUGGGUACUCGAGUGGCGAACGGGUGAGUAACACGUGGGUGAUCUGCCCUGCACUUCGGGAUAAGCCUGGGAAACUGGGUCUAAUACCGGAUAGGACGAUGGUUUGGAUGCCAUUGUGGAAAGUUUUUUCGGUGUGGGAUGAGCUCGCGGCCUAUCAGCUUGUUGGUGGGGUAAUGGCCUACCAAGGCGUCGACGGGUAGCCGGCCUGAGAGGGUGUACGGCCACAUUGGGACUGUGAUGCGGGCCAGAGUCCUACGGAAGGCAGCAGUGGGGAAUGUUGCACGAUGGGCGCAAGCCUGAUGCAGCGACGCCGCGUGGGGGAUGACGGCCUUCGGGUUGUAGACACCUAUCGCUAGGGACGAAGCGUUUUUGUGACGGUACCUGGAGAAGAAGCACCGGCUAACUACGUG
RNAcentral lists this ribosomal RNA (468 nucleotides) under uncultured bacterium. RNAcentral's name for it is "partial 16S ribosomal RNA". It matches the Rfam family "Bacterial small subunit ribosomal RNA", at positions 28 to 507 of the family's 1533-position model. The record is from RNAcentral.